CUACAAAAAACAUAAGUUUACUUGUGUUUUAACAAGUACAAAAUCCAAAUAAACUUCAAAAAAAAUACAGAAUUUAAUCUGAGACCUUGGAAAAGGCUUCCAAACUUUGGUGCUAGAAGCAAGAAUGUGGAUUUACAGUUUAAAGUAGAAACACAUUAAGCUAAGUAAAGUUUUGAGUUUUAGAGUUUAAUAUAUAGAAAAAAAUAACACUAUUUACAAAGUUUACAAGAAGUUUUAGAGUGUAGUACUCUAAAUUUGUGUGUCAUAACAUGAUUGGCUAAGAAAGCUUAACACUGUAGCAUGAGUCCAUAAGAUGAAAUAUUUAAGGAUCGGGUCAAAAACAUAAAUACCCUUUUUGGCAGUGUUUUAUUAGUUAAUAAAGCCUUAAAAAGUCCUGUAACUAAAGGUCUUGUGACCUUCUGAGCCAUGGGGUGAAGAUGUGAGCCUUCCCUUCCUCACCCUUCCUGCUUAUAUAAAAGAUUUUUACAUUCUGAGCAGCAUCUACAGUGGGAGGAAGGAAACUGUAGAGAACAGCAAUGACUGGACCAUCCCAGACAGCUCAGGGAAGGAGGGGGAAAAUAUCCCUGAGCAGAGCAGCGAGGUGACAGCGCUGACAACAGCAGCUCCAGCACACCGAGAGCCUGGGCUUAUCUCCCAACUGCUUCCUCCCAGCUUAUCAGAGGCUGCACAACCUCCCUCCACUGCCAAACAAGAGCCCUGCCAACAGAAAAUAUGAGACUGUGGGUAAGAAAGGGCCCGGAGCUGGCUGGAAUAGCCAGCUCUGUGCAGAACCCACCCUUGUUCCCAUGAGCUG
This is a long non-coding RNA of Passer domesticus (house sparrow), 814 nucleotides long. RefSeq lists it as uncharacterized. The record is from RefSeq and is a predicted model, not a curated record. NCBI's taxonomy places the organism in Eukaryota, Metazoa, Chordata, Aves, Passeriformes, Passeridae. The transcript is spliced from 3 exons.